This 62-nucleotide small nuclear RNA is filed under the name Sorex araneus (European shrew). RNAcentral's name for it is "U7 small nuclear RNA (ENSSARG00000015120.1)". It matches the Rfam family "U7 small nuclear RNA". Rfam says of the family: Animal histone pre-mRNAs are spliced by a different mechanism than nuclear pre-mRNAs and self-splicing introns. This processing involves the U7 snRNP, which contains only one RNA species: U7. The 5' end of U7 RNA is thought to base-pair to a conserved spacer element downstream of the cleavage site in histone pre-mRNA. The record is from RNAcentral. Lineage: Eukaryota; Metazoa; Chordata; Mammalia; Eulipotyphla; Soricidae.
AAGUGUUACAGCUCUUUUAGAAUUUGUUUAGCGGGUUUUCUGGUUGCUAUCAGAAAGCUCAC